Molecule: ribosomal RNA, 559 nt
Filed under: Trichoderma viride
Lineage: Eukaryota; Fungi; Ascomycota; Sordariomycetes; Hypocreales; Hypocreaceae
Description: SSU rRNA
Rfam family: Eukaryotic small subunit ribosomal RNA
Source: RNAcentral
UCCCGACUUCGGAAGGGUUGUAUUUAUUAGAUUAAAAACCAAUGCCCCUCGGGGCUCUCUGGUGAAUCAUGAUAACUAGUCGAAUCGACAGGCCUUGUGCCGGCGAUGGCUCAUUCAAAUUUCUUCCCUAUCAACUUUCGAUGUUUGGGUCUUGUCCAAACAUGGUGGCAACGGGUAACGGAGGGUUAGGGCUCGACCCCGGAGAAGGAGCCUGAGAAACGGCUACUACAUCCAAGGAAGGCAGCAGGCGCGCAAAUUACCCAAUCCCGACACGGGGAGGUAGUGACAAUAAAUACUGAUACAGGGCUCUUUUGGGUCUUGUAAUCGGAAUGAGUACAAUUUAAAUCCCUUAACGAGGAACAAUUGGAGGGCAAGUCUGGUGCCAGCAGCCGCGGUAAUUCCAGCUCCAAUAGCGUAUAUUAAAGUUGUUGUGGUUAAAAAGCUCGUAGUUGAACCUUGGGCCUGGCUGGCCGGUCCGCCUCACCGCGUGCACUGGUCCGGCCGGGCCUUUCCCUCUGCGGAACCCCAUGCCCUUCACUGGGUGUGGCGGGGAAACAGG